This 75-nucleotide transfer RNA is filed under the name Pseudonocardia sp. RNAcentral's name for it is "tRNA-Thr". It matches the Rfam family "tRNA". Rfam says of the family: Transfer RNA (tRNA) molecules are approximately 80 nucleotides in length. Their secondary structure includes four short double-helical elements and three loops (D, anti-codon, and T loops). Further hydrogen bonds mediate the characteristic L-shaped molecular structure. tRNAs have two regions of fundamental functional importance: the anti-codon, which is responsible for specific mRNA codon recognition, and the 3' end, to which the tRNAs corresponding amino acid is attached (by aminoacyl-tRNA synthetases). tRNAs cope with the degeneracy of the genetic code in two manners: having more than one tRNA (with a specific anti-codon) for a particular amino acid; and 'wobble' base-pairing, i.e. permitting non-standard base-pairing at the 3rd anti-codon position. Lineage: Bacteria; Bacillati; Actinomycetota; Actinomycetes; Pseudonocardiales; Pseudonocardiaceae. RNAcentral also lists the same sequence under 8 other names. The record is from RNAcentral.
GCCGGUGUAGCUCAGUGGUAGAGCAACUGUCUUGUAAACAGUAGGUCGUCGGUUCGAUCCCGACCUCCGGCUCCA